CCUACGGGAGGCAGCAGUGGGGAAUCUUCCGCAAUGGACGAAAGUCUGACGGAGCAACGCCGCGUGAGUGAUGACGGCCUUCGGGUUGUAAAGCUCUGUUAAUCGGGACGAAAGGCCUUCUUGCGAAUAGUGAGAAGGAUUGACGGUACCGGAAUAGAAAGCCACGGCUAACUACGUGCCAGCAGCCGCGGUAAUACGUAGGUGGCAAGCGUUGUCCGGAAUUAUUGGGCGUAAAGCGCGCGCAGGCGGAUAGGUCAGUCUGUCUUAAAAGUUCGGGGCUUAACCCCGUGAUGGGAUGGAAACUGCCAAUCUAGAGUAUCGGAGAGGAAAGUGGAAUUCCUAGUGUAGCGGUGAAAUGCGUAGAUAUUAGGAAGAACACCAGUGGCGAAGGCGACUUUCUGGACGAAAACUGACGCUGAGGCGCGAAAGCCAGGGGAGCG
This 440-nucleotide ribosomal RNA is filed under the name uncultured bacterium. RNAcentral describes it as "bacterial SSU rRNA". It matches the Rfam family "Bacterial small subunit ribosomal RNA", at positions 338 to 770 of the family's 1533-position model. The record is from RNAcentral.